This 459-nucleotide ribosomal RNA is filed under the name Pantoea agglomerans. RNAcentral describes it as "bacterial SSU rRNA". It matches the Rfam family "Bacterial small subunit ribosomal RNA", at positions 30 to 481 of the family's 1533-position model. The record is from RNAcentral. Lineage: Bacteria; Pseudomonadati; Pseudomonadota; Gammaproteobacteria; Enterobacterales; Erwiniaceae.
UUGAGCACUGACGCCAGACCUAACACAUGCAAGUCGAGACGCUAGCACACAGGAGCCCGUCCUCGGGUGACGAGUGGCGGACGGGUGAGUAAUGUCUGGGGAUCUGCCCGAUAGAGGGGGAUACCCACUGGAAACGGUGGCUAAUACCGCAUAACGUCGCAAGACCAAAGAGGGGGGUCUUCGGGCCUCUCACUAUCGGAUGAACCCAGAUGGGAUUAGCUAGUAGGCGGGGUAAUGGCCCACCUAGGCGACGAUCCCUAGCUGGUCUGAGAGGAUGUCCAGCCACACUGGAACUGAGACACGGUCCAGACUCCUACGGGAGGCAGCAGUGGGGAAUAUUGCACAAUGGGCGCAAGCCUGAUGCAGCCAUGCCGCGUGUAUGAAGAAGGCUUCGGGUUGUAAAGUACUUCAGCGGGGAGGAAGGCGACGCGGUUAAUAACCCUGUCGAUGACGUACCCG